UUCUCUUCCUUCUUCUCUUCCUUUUUCUCUUCCUUCUUCUUUCCCUUCGUGUCCACCUUCUUGAGUAAUCAGAAUAUCAGGAGAAGGGGGAAGUUUCGAGG
RNAcentral lists this non-coding RNA (101 nucleotides) under Paramoeba aestuarina. Lineage: Eukaryota; Discosea; Flabellinia; Dactylopodida; Paramoebidae. The record is from RNAcentral.